UACGAAGGGGGCUAGCGUUGCUCGGAAUCACUGGGCGUAAAGGGUGCGUAGGCGGGUCUUUAAGUCAGGGGUGAAAUCCUGGAGCUCAACUCCAGAACUGCCUUUGAUACUGAGGAUCUUGAGUUCGGGAGAGGUGAGUGGAACUGCGAGUGUAGAGGUGAAAUUCGUAGAUAUCGUAAGGAAGACCAGUGGCGAAGGCGAGUCUCUGGACAGUUACUGACGCUGAGGCACGAAGGCCAGGGGAGCAAACGGG
RNAcentral lists this ribosomal RNA (253 nucleotides) under uncultured bacterium. Its description in RNAcentral is "partial 16S ribosomal RNA". It matches the Rfam family "Bacterial small subunit ribosomal RNA", at positions 524 to 776 of the family's 1533-position model. The record is from RNAcentral.